GGAAAAGAAACCAACAGGGAUUGCCUCAGUAACGGCGAGUGAAGCGGCACAAGCUCAAAUUUGAAAUCUGGCUCUUUCAGGGUCCGAGUUGUAAUUUGUAGAAGAUGCUUCGGGUGUGGCCCCGGUCUAAGUUCCUUGGAACAGGACGUCAUAGAGGGUGAGAAUCCCGUAUGUGACUGGGUGCCUACGCUCAUGUGAAGCUCUUUCGACGAGUCGAGUUGUUUGGGAAUGCAGCUCAAAAUGGGUGGUAUAUUUCAUCUAAAGCUAAAUAUUGGCCAGAGACCGAUAGCGCACAAGUAGAGUGAUCGAAAGAUGAAAAGCACUUUGGAAAGAGAGUUAAACAGUACGUGAAAUUGUUGAAAGGGAAGCGCUUGCAAUCAGACUUGCGCCUGGGUAAUCAUCCGGGGUUCUCUCCGGUGCACUUGCUCAGGCUCAGGCCAGCAUCGGUUUGGGUGGUUGGAUAAAGGCCUUGGGAAUGUGGCCCCCUUCGGGGGGUGUUAUAGCCCUCGGUGCCAUGCAGCCUACCUGGACCGAGGACCGCGCUUCGGC
Molecule: ribosomal RNA, 549 nt
Filed under: Rutstroemia bulgarioides
Lineage: Eukaryota; Fungi; Ascomycota; Leotiomycetes; Helotiales; Rutstroemiaceae
Description: eukaryotic LSU rRNA
Rfam family: Eukaryotic large subunit ribosomal RNA
Source: RNAcentral